RNAcentral lists this ribosomal RNA (407 nucleotides) under uncultured bacterium. RNAcentral's name for it is "partial 16S ribosomal RNA". It matches the Rfam family "Bacterial small subunit ribosomal RNA", at positions 30 to 526 of the family's 1533-position model. The record is from RNAcentral.
AUCGAACGCUAGCGGGAUGCCUUACACAUGCAAGUCGAACGGAGUGGCGAACGGGGGAGUAAUGUAUCGGAACGUGCACAGUAGCGGGGGAUAACUACGCGAAAGCGUAGCUAAUAACGCAUACUAUUGGAGCGGCCGAUAGCGGAUUAGCUAGAUGGUGGGGCACAGGCUCACAAAGGCGACGAUCCGAAGCUGGUUUGAGAGGACGACCCGCCAACCUGGGACUGAGACACGGCCCAGACUCCUACGGUAGGCAGCAGUGGGGAAUUUUGGGCAAUGGGGGAAACCCUGAUCCAGCCAUGCCGCGUGUGCGAUGAAGGUCUUCGGGUUGUAAAGCACUUUUGGCAGGAAAGCGGUACCUGCAGAGUAAGCAACGGCUAACUACGUGCCAGCAGCCGCGGUAAUAC